This 90-nucleotide transfer RNA is filed under the name Verrucomicrobiales bacterium. RNAcentral describes it as "tRNA-Ser". It matches the Rfam family "tRNA". From Rfam's summary of the family: Transfer RNA (tRNA) molecules are approximately 80 nucleotides in length. Lineage: Bacteria; Pseudomonadati; Verrucomicrobiota; Verrucomicrobiia; Verrucomicrobiales. The record is from RNAcentral.
GGACAGGUGUCUGAGCGGUCUAAGGAGCACGCUUGGAAAGCGUGAGUAGGGGUAACUCUACCGUGGGUUCGAAUCCCACCCUGUCCGCCA